AUGGGCCCGAAGAGAAAACUGGAUGACCUGGCCCAGCCAUCCAGCAGCGGCGGCGGAGGCGAUGAUAGACCGACGAAGGCGCCACGGCUCUCGCCGCCGCCCGCGCAGUCGCCCUCUCGCGACCAGACGGCGCCUCCCACCUCACCGCCUCCGCUUCAGCCGCCAGGGUCCCCACCGCCUCCCGCCGACAAAGAUCCGGUGGAGCUGGAAGAGGGGGAGCUAGAAGAUGAUGCAGAUUCACAAGAGGAAGCAGAGGAUGAUCAGGAUUCGGAUGAGGAGCUCGGAGGAUCACUUCCUGAACUUGCACUCGGCACACAAGAGUAUCUUUCACUGCGAGAAACCUCGAGCCAGUUCCUGGAUGGCAAGAGAACGUACCUCAAACCGCAAAAGGACUGCCGUAUCCUCAUUGGUGUUUUCCGGUGUCCAGAUGAUCGUCCGACAGCAUUAGGAAGUGAGGAACAACUCGCAGAAUUGGUUCGUGAAUCUCCAGAUAACUCUAUCAUCCAGGAAAAGAUGAAGAUUCUCAGUAAGCAUUAUGUGCUCUUCCGAAGAACUCGCCAAGAUGGCAGCUGUUUUUACAGAGCUUUUCUGUUUUCCUACAUGGAGAUCCUUCGACAAAUGCAAGAUAAACAAGCUGAGGUUACUCGUCUUAUGGAAUGUUUGGAAAUGUAUACAGAUAGAUUCUCUCGUCUUAAGUGGGACAAAGCAUACUUCUUCAAUCCUGAAAAAUACUUCUCAAGUGUUGUUUCUGAGCUCAAUGAGGUUCUCAACGUCAUUGCAGCAGGCUGUACUUCUGAAUGGCUGUACAAGAGAAGCCUGCAGGAGACCUUUUCAGGCAGGAUUAUAUCUUUCCUUAGGUUGCUUACUGAGACUGAAAUCCGGACAGAAGAGUUCUACAAGCAAUCUAUCCCCCAAAAUUUGAAUGUCCUCCAGUUCUGUUGGAAAACGGUGCGAUCGCUGGAUGCUGAAGCUACCACUACACAAAUGAGGGCUUUGACAUACACGCUCGGCAUACCGUUGCGUGUCGAAGUCGUGGAUAAGAGCUCGACGGGUCAAGGUGUGUUAGUGAAGCGCCUCGAUUUCUUUCAUCAGGCAGACUUGAACAAGGGCCCUCUCCAUUUGACUCGGGGCUACCUUUCCUCGAGCACAGCUCCUAAACUGCUGGAGGAGGGAGGCGACGAUGCCAACUUGUUAUCAUCUGAUGGCGCGCCCUUGCUGACCUUGCUGUGUAGGCGUGGUCACUGUGACAUUCUUUACCGCAAGUGA
RNAcentral lists this ribosomal RNA (1266 nucleotides) under Triticum aestivum (bread wheat). Its description in RNAcentral is "partial small subunit ribosomal RNA". Lineage: Eukaryota; Viridiplantae; Streptophyta; Magnoliopsida; Poales; Poaceae. The record is from RNAcentral.